Molecule: ribosomal RNA, 357 nt
Filed under: uncultured bacterium
Lineage: Bacteria
Description: partial 16S ribosomal RNA
Rfam family: Bacterial small subunit ribosomal RNA
Source: RNAcentral
UAGGGAAUCUUCCACAAUGGACGCAAGUCUGAUGGAGCAACGCCGCGUGAGUGAAGAAGGCUUUCGGGUCGUAAAACUCUGUUAUUGAAGAAGAACGUGUGUGACAGUAACUGGUCAUGCAGUGACGGUAUUCAAUCAGAAAGUCACGGCUAACUACGUGCCAGCAGCCGCGGUAAUACGUAGGUGGCAAGCGUUGUCCGGAUUUAUUGGGCGUAAAGCGAGUGCAGGCGGUCUUUUAAGUCUGAUGUGAAAGCCUUCGGCUUAACCGAAGAAGGGCAUCGGAAACUGGGAGACUUGAGUGCAGAAGAGGAGAGUGGAACUCCAUGUGUAGCGGUGAAAUGCGUAGAUAUAUGGAAG